This is an RNA transcript of Condylostylus longicornis, 1130 nucleotides long. It is a transcript of the gene named E3 ubiquitin-protein ligase PPP1R11, with no coding region annotated. Lineage: Eukaryota; Metazoa; Arthropoda; Insecta; Diptera; Dolichopodidae. The transcript has 5 exons. The record is from RefSeq and is a predicted model, not a curated record.
AUAUAGACAUAUGUACGAGAACAAAAGUAAAAACAAAUUGAAAAACUACGAGUAUACACACAUAUGAAGAUUCAAAUACAUUUUUUUUUGAAACUUAAACUUAAUCUUUUAAGAAAAUUUAAUUAAAUAAUAAUAUAAUAGUCUAAUUUAUAUUUGAAAUAUGGAAUGUACAUCAGGCUUUCAAUCAGAUGGUCCCACAACAUCUAAUUACUCUCAGACUCAGACAAUUUCUUCAGUAACAGAAACUGAUGGAGAACAAGUGGCACCGGUUUUAAGAUUGCGAUUACAAAAACCGAAAAACCCAAAGAAAGUAGCUUGGAAAAGUAAUACUAUAGAUAACGAGAAUCUGGGAAAAAAAAAAUCAAAAUGCUGCUGUAUUUAUAAAAAACCUACAGUCUUUGGUGAAAGCUCCUCCGAAAGUGACGACGAAUGUGAAAACUGCUUUGGUCAUCCAGAAAAAAAAAAGAAAAAUCGAGGUGGAAAUCACUUUAGCAGUGAUAAAAAUUCAGAGGAGCCCAACACAUAAUGCUGAAGAAAUCAAUAUCAACACUAAAUUUUAUUAUUAUUUAUAUCAACUCCCAUGUAAUAUAUGAACUAGGCAAUGUUACGAUAAAUUAUAGCCAUAUGUUAGAACUAUAUGUAUUUUAAUAAGUGCAGUAUAUAUGUACAUUGUAUUAUAGACUUAUUAUAUUAACGAUCAUCCACACAAAUUCAAAGAUGUAAUAUUUUUGUGCUUGUAUUCUAACGGUAGACACAAUCAAUUCACUCCUUCUGGAAAGAAGUAAAACAAGAUACGAGUAUCUAUAUAUAAAGAAAGAUACAUAUUCGUGUAUCAUUUAGAGCAAGAUAUGAGCACAAUUUUUCUACAAAUUUUCUCCAAUUUUUACCAAUUUUCUCCAAUUUAACAUUGAUAAAUCGAAAGAAAUUUCUAAUAAAUGUUAUCCAGCUGAUGACCUACUGAAACGUUCAUCAAUUAUGCAAUAAUUUUCUGACUAUAUAAAUCUAAAUACAAGCUUCACAUACAGCGAAUUUGACAAAAAAAAUUUUAAAUUUAGAAAACAAUGGUGUAUCUUUGGUAUUGAAAUAAUUGUUAUACGAAUUAAAAACAUUUAUUUUUUUUUGUUAAUGUU